RNAcentral lists this long non-coding RNA (421 nucleotides) under Crocodylus porosus (Australian saltwater crocodile). Its description in RNAcentral is "lncRNA (ENSCPRG00005013795.1)". Lineage: Eukaryota; Metazoa; Chordata; Crocodylia; Crocodylidae. The record is from RNAcentral.
AUUGAUAGUUAACUAGUGUGCUUGUUCUUUGUACAGGAAAGAAGAGAGCUUCAGAUACCAAACAAUGAUCCAUGAAUGGGAAUGAGGAAUUUAUAGAGGUAAUAUUACCGAAGGAGAGACUGAGGGGUAUAUCAGAAGACAGAUGUUACAGAAGAAGUGUUUUAUAUCAAAUCUCUAAAAAGUAUGGUGUUUUUGUCUGUUUACCAGAACAAAAUCAAAGCAUUGUAGCAAGACAGCUGAAGUUAACAUAUGAAGACAUGAACAAAAAUACAACUUUCAUGCUGAAGGAUUCCAAAAUUCUUAGAACCCAGUCCUACAGUGUAUAUGGAAACUCCUUGAAUUACUCUUGAAGCCAUUAGGAUAUGAGCAUGCUGUGCUCUUUGCAGGGUCAGGCCUUUAAUAAAUCAUCAUUCAUGUUACA